RNAcentral lists this ribosomal RNA (332 nucleotides) under uncultured bacterium. Its description in RNAcentral is "partial 16S ribosomal RNA". It matches the Rfam family "Bacterial small subunit ribosomal RNA", at positions 338 to 667 of the family's 1533-position model. The record is from RNAcentral.
CCUACGGGACGCAGCAGUGAGGAAUAUUGGUCAAUGGACGCAAGUCUGAACCAGCCAUUCCGCGUGCAGGAAGACGGCUCUAUGAGUUGUAAACUGCUUUUGUACGAGGGUAAACUCAGAUACGCGUAUCUGUCUGAAAGUAUCGUACGAUUAAGGUACGGCUAACUCCGUGCCAGCCGCCGCGGUAAUACGGAGGAUUCAAGCGUUAUCCGGAUUUAUUGGGUUUAAAGGGUGCGUAGGCGGUCGGGUAAGGUAGAUGUGAAAUCCCGAGGCUUAACUUCGGAAUUGCCUAUGAUACUGUUCGGCUAGAGAGCAGUAGCGGUAGGCGGAAU